RNAcentral lists this ribosomal RNA (492 nucleotides) under uncultured bacterium. Its description in RNAcentral is "partial 16S ribosomal RNA". It matches the Rfam family "Bacterial small subunit ribosomal RNA", at positions 29 to 507 of the family's 1533-position model. The record is from RNAcentral.
AGUGAACGCUGGCGGUAGGCCUAACACAUGCAAGUCGAACGGCAGCACAGUAAGAGCUUGCUCUUACGGGUGGCGAGUGGCGGACAGGUGGGGGGUACACCGCAAUGUACUUUGUCGUGGGGGUGAACGUAGGGAAACUUACGCGAAUACCACAUACGACCUACGUGUUGAAUCAAGAGUUCUUCCGACCUUGCGCGAUUGCACGAGCCUAUGUCGGAUUAGCGAGGUGGCGGGGUAAAGGCGCACCGAGGCGACGAUCCGCAGCUGGUCUGAGAGGGUGAUCCGCCACACUGGAACUGGGACACGGUCUAGACUCCUACGUGCGGCAGCGGUGCGGACUGUUGGCCACUGGGGGGAAGCUUGAUCCAGCCGUACCGCGUGGGUGCAGCAGGCCUUCGUGUUGUAAAGCCCUUUUGUUGGGAAAGAAGAGCAGCACGUGAAACGCCGGUUGUUGUGACGGUACCUAAAGAAUAAGCACCGGCUAACUUCGUG